AGGUUGUUGAAUAUAUACAGUUUUUGGAAGAGAAAAAAAUGGCUUGUGUUCGGGUGAGGCCCAGAUACAACAUCCCACAUUUUGUUUUCGAAAUCAUCUCUACUUAACUACAAAGGUAACCAAUUGAAGGAUGCUGAUGUUUUAUCUUUGUCACUAUAAGCUUUAGAACUUAAACUUCACCGGCAUUAGAAAGAAACUUUAGUUAUAGUUAUAUGGGAUAUGAGGACUGUAGGACUAAUGUGAUUCGUUUCUGUAGGUUGUGGUUGCAACUUGGAUGCAGAGGAAGAGUAAUUUGGCUGCUAAGGUAUCAAGGUAAGGAAAAAGAAAUAUUGCCCCAGUGUUUAUGAUUUGUCUGGUUAGGGUCAUAGUGUAUUUUAAUCCAUUAUGAAUUUCUAUAGCUGUGAAUUAUAUAUACACAUGUACGAAGAAACAAUAGAUUAAGUUUGUUUCAUCCUUUGGGUGUAUAUUUUGAAGUUCCUGAGUGACAAAGGCUCUUUGAGAAACAGUAAGAUUAAGUUUGUUUUUAUCACAUAAUGCAGGAUUAUUAAACCCAAACAAAUCCAAGCGGUAUUUGUCAUUUGCUGUAAAGCCAUUAAAAACGCCUCCAGGAGAAAUGUCAAAGGCUCUUUGAGAAACUUGUAUAUUUAUCUCUUCUUUACUUGCCUUUAAUGACAAACAUGAUAGUAUCCAAAUUAAUUUCAGGAAGGUACUCCUAUAAGAGGAAACUUUUGAGAUGUACCAUGUCAUUUAAAUUUAAUCCAUAAUGCAGAGAUAAAAACAGUUUUUUCAUUCACCACAUGGAGAUCGCAUUAACUAAGCGCCGUGAGGCAAGCCAUGAUGUUCUUCGAAAUAUGUGGACAAUAAGGUUGCUGAGUGAGCAAUUCUUUUUGCUUCUGUGGUGUUCUCAGGGAGGGAUAUUUCGUGGCCUUGGUGAUAUAUGCAAACCAAAUUUUGUAUGAUUUUUAGAACCCUUUGGAGUGAAAGACAGUAAAUGAGGAAUGAUGUUUAAAUAAUAUUGAGUUUUUCUUUUAUUUUUUUCUUGGUUCA
Molecule: long non-coding RNA, 1047 nt
Filed under: Triticum aestivum (bread wheat)
Lineage: Eukaryota; Viridiplantae; Streptophyta; Magnoliopsida; Poales; Poaceae
Description: long non-coding RNA (TAES_LNC024402)
Source: RNAcentral